Molecule: ribosomal RNA, 253 nt
Filed under: uncultured bacterium
Lineage: Bacteria
Description: partial 16S ribosomal RNA
Rfam family: Bacterial small subunit ribosomal RNA
Source: RNAcentral
UACGUAGGUGACAAGCGUUGUCCGGAUUUACUGGGCGUAAAGCGUGCGCAGGCGGCGCGUUAAGACAGGUGUGAAAGCCCCGAGCUUAACUUGGGAAUUGCGCUUGUGACUGGCGUGCUGGAGUGUGGCAGAGGGAGGUGGAAUUCCACGUGUAGCAGUGAAAUGCGUAGAGAUGUGGAGGAACACCGAUGGCGAAGGCAGCCUCCUGGGCCAGCACUGACGCUCAUGCACGAAAGCGUGGGGAGCAAACAGG